GUUUGUUACAUUAAUAUGGUUACAGAUCUGUUUUAGCGGUCUUGCAGAACUACUUGUUCUUUCUCUUGUAACUGUCCCUGUUCUGCUUCAAAAUGUUCUCACAUCCCUUCCAGCUCUUUUUUCCCCUCUUAGGGUAGAAUCUUGUUAGAAGAUGAAGGGGGGUAUUUUAAGGCUUAAGGAGCCAAAAGAUGAUGUUCAAAAUAAAUUAGGCACUUCUGAGAAUUACUUGUGCAUGAAAUGGGCUUCAUUAUUUCUGAGAUGGGUCAUUUGAAAAUUAAAAUGAGUACAAGUAUUACCCACAGCUGGUUGGUAAGGUCAACAUUAAGAAAUGUGCACAAUGUCACAGGACUUUAACUCUAGACUUCAUGAAUUAAGCUUCAGUUUCUAUACAGCUCUUCUUAAUUCAUUUAUUUGAUCAUGUAACCUUUGAACUGUGUGCUCAAAAAUUAACAUGGACACUUGAACAUGUUAACAUACAAAAUCGUUGAGAUGUGGCAUACUGGAAACGACAGUUUUCACACUGACCAAAGAUAAUUGGCCAUUCUUGAUAGAAGUGGUAUUUUGGUUGAAAAAUGUUCUGUACAAAAAAAGGACAUCUUGAAAAAAAAACAGGAAGAUGAUAGGAUAGUCUUCUUUACAUGUGAUUAUUUCAGUUAAAACAAGUUGGGGAAAGAUUCUAUGUAGAGUUGAGAGACAUUAGCAUUUGUUCACUGCAUCUGGUGUAACAGGAGAAAAUCCCCUGGGCCUUGAGUGAAAAAUAGGAUUUGUAAAGCAAUCCAUGCUGACAUAAAUCUUGUACACUAAAUAUGUAACUAAUUUUCUGAGAAAUACUCUAUAAUGUGCAUCUAUUUUCUAGUGGGUGUUCACAAGAUGAUAAAACUGCAUCAUACUGCACCAUGAGGUAGUUAAGCUUUAACUUAGGAAGGUUACAUUUUUGAGAUGUUUUAAUUUUUUUACUUCUUUGGAGUUUGUAUUGGUCAAGGUGUCACUUCCAUGUAAGCUACCUGGUCAAAUAUCCCUUGUACUUCUAAGGAAUAAUACAUACUUUCUAGUUCCUCGUACACUGGGUGCCAUUCUAGGAUGUCUGAUUGUAUGUUUUUGUAUUUCUACUUCAGAGAUUUCUGAGAAAAAUUGCACUAAGUCCUUGGAAAUAGUCAGGAGAGGACUGAACAACAUGUGGGGCAAAUGAGCAAUGGCUCUGGGAUGGCAUGCAGACAGCAGGAGGAGUUGGGCAUGUUUCAGCCUGACAUGCAACCACUUGAGCUCUCAGCUGUAGUUAUAUUUUCAGAUGCUGUAGCUCCAACAGAAAAAACACUGGUUCACCAACAAUAUGCACUUCUGCUGGUAAUUUCAAAGAUGUCCAUCUUGAUUUGCCUUUUAAGAUGGGUAAUAGUUAAUUGCACUUGUGAUCAACCUAGAGUUGCCAGCAAAUAUUUCUAGAAAGAAGACUAGACACAGCUGGAGGUGGUGAUGGUUCAGCCCCUCCUUGCAAGUGCACUACUGUUCAUGGGGUCCUUCUAGGGAUGGCAGAAGUAAAUCUUGAACACCUGGAUAAGAGCCAGUCUUCACUAAUGUCACAGAAUAAGAAUUGACUUUAUGCCUCUGUCUUGGGACAUGCUGCAGUGCAUUGCAUUUGAGACUAAAACAGGCUGUUCAGGGCUAUUUGUUCUGGUGUAACCUGUCAGAAAGCUAAGUACUAUGUAUCUGUCCCCCUUGCUGAGGGUUAUUGGACUUACAGCAAUCCAACAGCAAAAGGGUCCUCCAAAAGGAAGGACAGCUACUUGAUUUGCUGUGUAUCCAAGACAGUUAUGCCAAUAGCCCACUGGUAACUUUUGGAUUAUUGAAGUACCCUCUCCUGUGAUAGUCUAUGUCAAGCAUGCCUGGAGCCUUGGGGCCAGUCACAGUGGGGUGCGUUUGCCACUCCUUCCCAGUUACCCUCUCUUCAAGUUCAAGUGCAGUUACCUGUUGGGAUCUCCCUGUCACUCCAGAAACACAGAUGGGGUCUGCUGCUUUCUAGCUUGCUGGCAUUAGGGUACACUGUACACUGGUGCCCACUAGAGUCUUAAACCCCUGUGGGGCUGAUGUUCCAGGCCAUUGAGUCCACACAGUCAGAUAAAUCUGGUUGUCCUUUUCUCCACUUGGCUGGAGGCAUAGCUCAUCUAGUCCUGGUCAUAGUAUUCAUUACUGUGUCUGGAUGACUGUCUGCUGGAAGUUGGAGCAGCAGUUUUCUCAGAAGACACUGCUUUUCCAGUUGUUCUCCUUGCAAUUCAUGUACCUCUAGGGUCAAGGUAGAUUUUUCCAUCCCAUUUUCUCAUGUCCUCUCCAUGAUCACACAGGUAAAACCGCAGGGUGGUGUGUGGUGUGUACCUACUAUAUCCUCUUGAGCAGAGAGCAGUGCUUGCUCCUAGUAGCUGAGAUACUGGUUUGUACAGGUAGGGAGUAGGAUGUAACCUUGUUGAACUGCUGGAACUUCCAGGACAGUUUCUCCACAGCAUUUUUGAUUGGUGGGCCUUUGGGGAAAGCUUCUCGACAGCUGAGAUGUGAGCCUAUGGGGAAGGAGCGAGGCUUUUUUUGCAUUGCUGAAGUUGGCCAGCCAAUUAGUCUGGCAUAUGUUCCUCUUCUUUCCAGCUCAUUACUGUCAAUGAGUUGGCAUAGAACAAUGGUGCACUCCAUGCACACCUGUGCUACAGUGGUUGUAUGCACUUGACUUAAUCUGGAUCUUUAGAGAAUUGGUCAUCGUACUGCAAGUCACCAUAAACUCUCUCCAGCAUGGCUAACUUCCUUCAGUACUGGAUACCCAUCUCCAUGGAGGUCUACUUGCUUGGGUGACAUCUUCCCUGAAGGGAUACUUCUCUUCCACACCUAACAGGACUUGCCUCUGGAUGCUGAUGACUUGUGAUCGUUAUCCCAUUGCUCUGUCAACAUCACCUUCCCUCAGAGGGAUCCAGCUGCUUGGCUUCCCUGCGCUUAAUUCCAGGCUACUGGCCUUCUUAUUCCUGCACUGGAGCAACCAGGUGAUGGGGUGCUCACCUGGGUGAUGGCACAAAUCUUCUUGUGUAUCUCCCAGCUCAUACCCAUAGCCCAGUUGCUGGGAUCAGACCCUUUUCUGCUGGGCAACUUUCCAGCCCCUCAUCCCUAAGCCCACACCACUGCUCUGGGGUUCUGAUGCAAAUGCAGCACCCAGCAUUUACAUUUGCUGGCUGUCACUUAGUCAGACUUGGCCUGUUGACCUAGCCUAUGCAAAUUGUCAGGGAGCUGGUCUGCUUCAGGAUAGGAUGGCUUUGGAGACCCUAAUUUGGUUUUGUCUGCAAGCUUACUGCGGGUGGUCUUGAACCCCUUUUCCAGAUCACUGAUGAGAAUACUAAACAACCCUGGUCUCUGUAUGGAGCACUGGGGAACCUCUCUGGUGACCAGCCACCAACUGGAUUGAACUGUGUGCUGAGUCUCUGAGACCAGCCAUCCAGCCAGUUCUUCAGCCAGCAAACCUCUUCAAGCCCUGAUCAGCCAGCCUCUGCAGGAGAAUACCAUGGGAAACUCUCAAAAGCUUUACUAAGAUUCUAGUAGAUUAUGUCCACAAAUGAGCUGGGCAGGACCUGCCUUUCAUAAACUUGUUCUACACACAGCUGAUCACUUGAUUGUCUGAUAAAUUCUGUACAGGACAGAAAGAGUACAGCAAAAAGGCAUUCAGUGCCUCAGCCUUAUCUGCACCUUGUGUCCUCCGUGUUACCCCCUUGCAUCU
This is a long non-coding RNA of Cygnus olor (mute swan), 3739 nucleotides long. RefSeq lists it as uncharacterized. The transcript has 2 exons. The record is from RefSeq and is a predicted model, not a curated record. NCBI's taxonomy places the organism in Eukaryota, Metazoa, Chordata, Aves, Anseriformes, Anatidae.